This 253-nucleotide ribosomal RNA is filed under the name uncultured bacterium. RNAcentral's name for it is "partial 16S ribosomal RNA". It matches the Rfam family "Bacterial small subunit ribosomal RNA", at positions 524 to 776 of the family's 1533-position model. The record is from RNAcentral.
UACGAAGGGGGCGAGCGUUGUUCGGAUUUACUGGGCGUAAAGGGCGCGUAGGCGGCCCUGUUUGUCGCGUGUGAAAGCCCCGGGCUCAACCUGGGAAUGGCGAUGGAGACUGCAAGGCUAGAAUCUGGCAGAGGGGGGUAGAAUUCCACGUGUAGCAGUGAAAUGCGUAGAGAUGUGGAGGAACACCGAUGGCGAAGGCAGCCCCCUGGGUCGAGAUUGACGCUCAUGCACGAAAGCGUGGGGAGCAAACAGG